AAGCUCGUAGUUGAAUUUCGAAUGUGGCUGGGCGGUCCGCCUCACGGUGUGUACUGUCUGGCUGUGUUCUCUUUCUUGGUGAGCCGGCAUGCCCUUUACUGGGUGUGUUGGGGAACCAGGACGUUUACCUUGAGAAAAUUAGGGUGUUACAAAGCAGGCCUACGCCCGAAUACAUUAGCAUGGCAUAAUAAAAUAGGACGUGCGGUUCUAUUUUGUUGGCUUCUAGAGCCGCAGUAAUGAUUAAUAGGGAUAGUUGGG
This 258-nucleotide ribosomal RNA is filed under the name uncultured Basidiomycota. Its description in RNAcentral is "partial 18S ribosomal RNA". It matches the Rfam family "Eukaryotic small subunit ribosomal RNA", at positions 624 to 886 of the family's 1831-position model. The record is from RNAcentral. Lineage: Eukaryota; Fungi; Basidiomycota.